AGAGUUUGAUCCUGGCUCAGGAUUAACGCUGGCGGUAUGCCUAACACAUGCAAGUCGAACGGAAUACUAAUUAAGAGAAUCUCACACUAGUGAGAGGUUCUCACGAGUAGUAUUUAGUGGCGGACGGGUGAGUAACACGUUGGAACCUGCCCCGAAGUGGGGAAUAACUGCUCGAAAGAGUAGCUAAUACCCCAUAGUAUCCGGUUUAUCCGGAUUAAAGAUUUAUCGCUUCGGGAGGGGCCUGCGUCUGAUUAGCUAGUUGGUGAGGUAAAAGCUCACCAAGGCGACGAUCAGUAGCUGGUUCGAGAGGAUGACCAGCCACACUGGGACUGAGAUACGGCCCAGACUCCUACGGGAGGCAGCAGUGAGGAAUCUUCCACAAUGGGCGCAAGCCUGAUGGAGCAAUACCGCGUGCAGGAAGACGCUUUUCGGAGUGUAAACUGCUUUUGUCGCCGAAGAUUAUGACUGUAGACGAAGAAUAAGGACCGGCUAACUACGUG
RNAcentral lists this ribosomal RNA (500 nucleotides) under uncultured bacterium. Its description in RNAcentral is "bacterial SSU rRNA". It matches the Rfam family "Bacterial small subunit ribosomal RNA", at positions 8 to 507 of the family's 1533-position model. The record is from RNAcentral.